This 498-nucleotide ribosomal RNA is filed under the name uncultured bacterium. RNAcentral's name for it is "partial 16S ribosomal RNA". It matches the Rfam family "Bacterial small subunit ribosomal RNA", at positions 30 to 523 of the family's 1533-position model. The record is from RNAcentral.
AUUGAACGCUGGCGGCAUGCUUUACACAUGCAAGCCGAACGGUAACAGGCCGCAAGGUGCUGACGAGUGGCGAACGGGUGAGUAAUGCAUCGGAACGUGCCCAGUCGUGGGGGAUAACGCAGCGACAGCUGCGCUAAUACCGCAUACGAUCUAUGGAUGAAAGCGGGGGACCGUAAGGCCUCGCGCGAUUGGAGCGGACGAUGUCAGAUUAGGUAGCUGGUGGGGUAAAGGCUCACCAAGCCAACGAUCUGUAGCUGGUCUGAGAGGACGACCAUGCACACUGGGGCUGAGACACGGCCCAGAAUCCUACGAGAGGCAGCAGUGGGGAAUUUUGGACAAUGGGCGCAAGCCUGAUCCAGCAAUGCCGCUUGCAGGAAGAAGGCCUUCGUGUUGUAAACUGCUUUUGUACGGAACGAAAAGGCUCUGGUUAAGACCUGGGGCUCAUGACGGUACCGUAAGAAUAAGCACCGGCUAACUACGUGCCAGCCGCCGCCGCAG